UAAGUACAAUUCGCUUGUGUUUUAUCAUUUCUCUUUCUGGAUUUUGUGGCUGAGUCAAUCGAAACUGCACAUCCAUAAUAACUUCAUGUAGGAACUUCAGGACAUCUUCAUGUCUUCCUCGUGUCUUUAUAUUAUCCAUUGGUGUAUAAUUCUCAAAUGCAAAGAUCCGCUCCACCCCAAGAUUGUUGAAAAUCUUCUCCUUUUCAGCAACAUUUCCCUGUGUUUUGUAAGUGAGAAUAACAACAGGAAAUAUUCCUGU
This is a non-coding RNA of Pelobates cultripes (western spadefoot toad), 259 nucleotides long. The record is from the annotation of a GenBank genome assembly. NCBI's taxonomy places the organism in Eukaryota, Metazoa, Chordata, Amphibia, Anura, Pelobatidae.